GCGUGGGAAUCUACCCAGUUCUACGGAACAACUGAGGGAAACUUCAGCUAAUACCGUAUACGCCUACGGGGAAAGAUUUAUCGGAAUUGGAUGAGCCCGCGUUGGAUUAGCUAGUUGGUGGGGUAAUGGCCUACCAAGGCGACGAUCCAUAGCUGGUCUGAGAGGAUGAUCAGCCACACUGGGACUGAGACACGGCCCAGACUCCUACGGGAGGCAGCAGUGGGGAAUAUUGGACAAUGGGCGCAAGCCUGAUCCAGCCAUGCCGCGUGAGUGAUGAAGGCCUUAGGGUUGUAAAGCUCU
This 300-nucleotide ribosomal RNA is filed under the name uncultured Devosia sp. Its description in RNAcentral is "bacterial SSU rRNA". It matches the Rfam family "Bacterial small subunit ribosomal RNA", at positions 115 to 434 of the family's 1533-position model. Lineage: Bacteria; Pseudomonadati; Pseudomonadota; Alphaproteobacteria; Hyphomicrobiales; Devosiaceae. The record is from RNAcentral.